This 253-nucleotide ribosomal RNA is filed under the name uncultured bacterium. RNAcentral's name for it is "partial 16S ribosomal RNA". It matches the Rfam family "Bacterial small subunit ribosomal RNA", at positions 524 to 776 of the family's 1533-position model. The record is from RNAcentral.
UACAGAGGGGGCAAGCGUUGUUCGGAAUUACUGGGCGUAAAGGGCGCGUAGGUGGCCUUCUAAGUUGAACGUGAAAUCCCUGGGCUCAACCCAGGAACUGCGUCCAAGACUGGGAGGCUUGAAUCCGGGAGAGGGAUGCGGAAUUCCAGGUGUAGCGGUGGAAUGCGUAGAUAUCAGGAGGAACACCGGUGGCGAAGGCGGCUAGCUGGGCCGGUUCUGACGCUCAUGUGCGAAAGCGUGGGGAGCAAACAGG